This is a non-coding RNA of Xyrichtys novacula (pearly razorfish), 451 nucleotides long. Lineage: Eukaryota; Metazoa; Chordata; Actinopteri; Labriformes; Labridae. The record is from the annotation of a GenBank genome assembly.
CUCAGUGCCGGAUGAUUUCCAAGUCAUGCAACACGUGUCUUGCCACGCCGAGCGCCCUGAUCUCAAGCCUGUGUAUCCAGCCUGCCUCUCAGUGUUCGUUUGUGAGUUCUUUUGUUACUAUCCAGAGAGUUUUUCCCUUGAGCAAAGGAGAUUUUGUGUUUGGGUUUUUUCCUCCAGUUGAGAAGAUUUUUUGGUUUACUAUUUCUGUUGCACUUUGUCUUUUUACAUCCUUAGUUGUUACUUGCCCCAUGUGGCACUAUCAUUUGAACUUUUUUUUUUUUUUUUCACCAGCUAUUUUUGCCUUGCUGCAGUGACUAUCUUCAAACCCUGGUUUUAUGUUUUUUAGGUGGCAGUCCGAGCUGACCAUGCCUUUUUCCGGAAACGGCGAUUUUCUAUUGUUCACUUGUUGUUGUUCUAUUAUUUAUUGUCAAUAAAUGUGGGCAUUUGCCUC